RNAcentral lists this ribosomal RNA (492 nucleotides) under uncultured bacterium. Its description in RNAcentral is "partial 16S ribosomal RNA". It matches the Rfam family "Bacterial small subunit ribosomal RNA", at positions 29 to 507 of the family's 1533-position model. The record is from RNAcentral.
AGUGAACGCUGGCGGUAGGCCUAACACAUGCAAGUCGAACGGCAGCACAGUAAGAGCUUGCUCUUACGGGUGGCGAGUGGCGGACGGGUGAGGAAUACAUCGGAAUCUACUUUUUCGUGGGGGAUAACGUAGGGAAACUUACGCUAAUACCGCAUACGACCUACGGGUGAAAGCAGGGGAUCUUCGCACCUUGCGCGAUUGAAUGAGCCGAUGUCGGAUUAGCUAGUUGGCGGGGUAAAGGCCCACCAAGGCGACGAUCCGUAGCUGGUCUGAGAGGAUGAUCGGCCACACUGGAGCUGAGACACGGUCCAGAGUCCUACGGGAGGCAGCAGUGGGGAAUAUUAGACAAUGGGCGCAAACCUGAUCCAGCCAUACCGCGUGGGUGAAGAAGGCCUUCGGGUUGUAAAGACCUUUUGUUGGGAAAGAAAAGCAGCAGGUUAAUACCCCGCUGUUCUGACGGUACCCAAAGAAUAAGCACCGGCUAACUUCGUG